Non-coding RNA from Stegodyphus mimosarum, 73 nucleotides. NCBI's taxonomy places the organism in Eukaryota, Metazoa, Arthropoda, Arachnida, Araneae, Eresidae. The record is from Rfam.
GCCUUCGUGGUGUAGUGGUUAGUACGCUUGAAGCUUAUUCGAGAGGUCCGUGGUUCGAGUCCCGGCAAGGGCA